Molecule: ribosomal RNA, 433 nt
Filed under: uncultured bacterium
Lineage: Bacteria
Description: partial 16S ribosomal RNA
Rfam family: Bacterial small subunit ribosomal RNA
Source: RNAcentral
AAUGAACGCUGGCGGCAUGCCUAACACAUGCAAGUCGAACGAGACCUUCGUGACUAGUUGCGCACGGGUGCGUCACGCGUCGGAACCUUCCCUUAUGUUCGGAAUAACUCUCCGACAGGGGUGCUAACACCGGAUAAUUUCUUCUAACCAAAGAUUUAUCGCCCUUGGAUGAGCCGGCGUUGGAUUAGCUAGUUGGUAGGGUAAAAGCCUAUCACGGCUAGGAUACAUAGCUGGUAAGAGAGCAUGGGCAGCGACACUGGGACUGGGACGCGGCCGAGAAUCCUACGGGAGGGAGGAGUGCCGAAUAUAGGAAAAUGGGCGGAGUGAUGAAGGAGCAAGGCCUGGAGAGUGAUGAAGGUCUGAGGGAUGAAAAGCUCUUUUACCCGGGAUGAUAAUGACGGUACCGGGAGAAUAAGCUCCGGCUAACUCCGUG